Molecule: ribosomal RNA, 1488 nt
Filed under: Halosarpheia japonica
Lineage: Eukaryota; Fungi; Ascomycota; Sordariomycetes; Microascales; Halosphaeriaceae
Description: eukaryotic LSU rRNA
Rfam family: Eukaryotic large subunit ribosomal RNA
Source: RNAcentral
CUUAAGCAUAUCAAUAAGCGGAGGAAAAGAAACCAACAGGGAUUGCCUUAGUAACGGCGAGUGAAGCGGCAACAGCUCAAAUUUGAAAUCUGGCCCCCGGGUCCGAGUUGUAAUUUGCAGAGGAAGCUUUUGGCGAGGCGCCUUCCGAGUUCCCUGGAUACGGGACGCCAUAGAGGGUGAGAGCCCCGUACGGUCUGGUGCCGAGCCUCUGUAAAGCUCCUUCGACGAGUCGAGUAGUUUGGGAAUGCUGCUCUAAAUGGGAGGUAAACUCCUUCUAAAGCUAAAUACUGGCCAGAGACCGAUAGCGCACAAGUAGAGUGAUCGAAAGAUGAAAAGCACUUUGAAAAGAGAGUUAAAAAGCACGUGAAAUUGUUGAAAGGGAAGCGCUUGUGACCAGACUUGCGCCUGGCAGCUUAGCCGUCCUUCUGGGCGGUGUACUCUGCCGGCUCAGGCCAGCAUCAGUUUCGGGCAGGGGAGAAAUGCGGCGGGAAUGUGGCUCUUCGGAGUGUUAUAGCCCGCCGUUAUGCCCUGCCGGGGACUGAGGUUCGCGCUCUGCACGGAUGCUGGCGUAAUGGUUAUCAGCGACCCGUCUUGAAACACGGACCAAGGAGUCAUCCUCAUAUGCGAGUGUUAGGGUGCAAAACCCCUACGCGAAAUGAAAGUGAACGGAGGUGAGAGCUUCGGCGCAUCAUCGACCGAUCCUGAUGUUCUCGGAUGGAUUUGAGUAUGAGCAUAUGGGGCUGGACCCGAAAGAAGGUAAAUUACUCACUAUUUCUUUUCUCCCCUAUCUAAAUAUGGGCGAGCUAUAGUACUAGUGUAUAGUAGUAGUAUGCCAGGUUGCUUUGUUUUCCUGGUGGAGUUAAAUCUCCCGAUAGCAAGACUUUGGAAGUCUGGCUUGCAUUUAUUAGUGGAAUAUUUAUGCUAACCCGGUUAUUUUCUAGGUGAACUAUGCUUGGAUAGGGUAAAGCCAGAGGAAACUCUGGUGGAGGCUCGCAGCGGUUCUGACGUGCAAAUCGAUCGUCAAAUCUGAGCAUGGGGGCGAAAGACUAAUCGAACCUUCUAGUAGCUGGUUUCCGCCGAAGUUUCCCUCAGGAUAGCAGUGUUGAUCUCAGUUUUAUGAGGUAAAGCGAAUGAUUAGGGACUCGGGGGCGCUUAUUAGCCUUCAUCCAUUCUCAAACUUUAAAUAUGUAAGAAGCCCUUGUUACUUUAGUGAACGGGGGCAUUCGAAUGUGCAACACUAGUGGGCCAUUUUUGGUAAGCAGAACUGGCGAUGCGGGAUGAACCGAUCGCGAGGAUAAGGUGCCAGAGUAGACGCUCAUCAGACACCACAAAAGGUUGUUAUCACAUCUAGACAGCAGGACGGUGGCCAUGGAAGUCGGAAUCCGCUAAGGACUGUGUAACAACUCACCUGCCGAAUGUGAUAGCCCUGAAAAUGGAUGGCGCGUCAAGCGUCUCACCCAUACCUCGCCUUCAGGGUAGAAACGAUGC